CUGGGAGGCACCGUGUCGUCGUCGUCCCCUUUCCCUUCUCUACUCCGCCGCCGCUCGCUCGCCGGAUCUGUGGAGACUCGUGAGUACGUGACCCCCACGGUGGAUGAGGAUAGGCGGGCCUCGUCCGGCAGCCUGUGCUCUCUGGGACGGGAGGCAGAGCUGGCACCAGGGUUAUGUCCACUGUCCACCUUCGAAUAUGGGGAUGAAGCGCGAGCAAGAAAGAAAGAAAGGCUGCACAACUGGCACUGUAUGAAGAAGACUGUUGAUAUUGACAACAGUCAACAGCCACUUUCUGAAGGGCCUGGAGAACUUGUGCCAAAAGUAACAAUGGAAGUUUGUUCAUGGGAUUGA
RNAcentral lists this unclassified non-coding RNA (351 nucleotides) under Zea mays. Its description in RNAcentral is "misc RNA Zm00001eb105720". The record is from RNAcentral. Lineage: Eukaryota; Viridiplantae; Streptophyta; Magnoliopsida; Poales; Poaceae.